GGACACCAAUGCCAAGAAGCCAGGGAAGAAAAACUACCAAGGAGAUUGAAAAGGAGAGCCCUGGACUACGAUACCAGGUGGAAAACCAGGACAAUGUGGCAUCCUGACAUCCCAGUGAAGAAAGUGUUUCAAUGAAGUGUCCCACUUCUUCACACUCCAAAGUGUGGCUGGCAAGUGAUAUUAGAUGAGAACAGAGAAUUAACCAUUGGAUUUGGCAUUGCAGGGAGUCAUCGUUGACCUUGGCAAGAGUGGGUUUAGUAGAGUGGGGAGGGGUGAAAGCAUAAUUGGAGUGGGUUUGAGAGAAAAUGGAUAAAUGAAGGAGAAAACAAUUAGCUCGUGGGGAUAAAAGUUUAUGAAGAUAGAAAUGGGUUUCUGAUUUAAAAAAUCAAUCUUGGUGCCAUUAUAAUCCUAUGGGCUCUUGAAAUUACUCUCCACACUGUUUUAUUCUUGUGAAUGCAGUGCAGGUUCUUCAGCUUUGCUGGAGUACGUAUCGACUUUGCUGGGAGCAUGACUUUGUGCAAGGCAUAAAGGUUAUACCUCUGCAGCUCUUCUACUUUGUCUCUGCCAUCUCUGACAACUCAACUCAGGUGUACACUUAAAGCGUUCUGGGAAUAUGAAUCCCUUCUGCACCCUGGAAUCACCAGUCCAGCCAUGCAUGGAGCUGGGGAAAGCAGGCCCUGAAUUGUCUAGAGAGACUUGGUGGAGGAGGCCACGGCCCGCCUUGUCCCUGCCGGGUCCCAGCCAGGUGUGUGUGCCCCAGCUCGACUCUCGGUGGUCUCCAGGCUGCAGCAGAAGGAAUACCUUGAGCAGUGAGGCCUGAGACCCUCAACAGUGCUGUGUGUACAGAAGGCCCCCAGAAUCCACACAAAGGGGCCGCCUGAAACCUAGAGCAUUUGUGAAGGAGGAAAAUGGAAGGUAACUUACUCAUCAGUGCGGUGGUUCUUCAGCGUGGCUGCAUCCGGGGAGCACCUGGGAACUCUCAGAAAUACUCAUGCCUGGGCCCAAUUGGUUUGGGGUGUGUUUGAGCGCUGAGAACUGUCAAAGCUCCCCACCAGGUGAUUCUCAGAUGCAGCCAAAGCCAGAACCUCUGGGCUUUCCUCAGGGGACUUUU
This 1111-nucleotide long non-coding RNA is filed under the name Pan troglodytes (chimpanzee). RNAcentral describes it as "long non-coding RNA NONPTRT001639". The record is from RNAcentral. Lineage: Eukaryota; Metazoa; Chordata; Mammalia; Primates; Hominidae.